CCCUUAGAUGUUCUGGGCUGCACACGUGCUACACUGGCAGGUUCAGCGAGCUUCAUGCCCUGAUCUGAAAGGAAUGGGAAAUCUUUUCAAAACCUGCCGUGCUUGGGAUAGAUGUUUGCAAUUAUUCAUCUUCAACGAGGAUUGCCUUGUAAGCGCAUGUCAUCAGCAUGCAUUGAAUACGACCCUGUAUUCUGUACACACCGCCCGUCGCUCCUACCGAUUGAAUGGUUUAGUGAGGCCUUCGGAUCCGCGACUCGUUUGUGGAGAAGUUGGACAAACUCAGUCAUUUAGAGGAAGUAAAAGUCGUAACA
This 311-nucleotide ribosomal RNA is filed under the name uncultured eukaryote. RNAcentral's name for it is "partial 18S ribosomal RNA". It matches the Rfam family "Eukaryotic small subunit ribosomal RNA", at positions 1470 to 1796 of the family's 1831-position model. The record is from RNAcentral.